GGUUUGUUGGUCUAGGGGUAUGAUUCUCGCUUUGGGUGCGAGAGGUCCCGGAUUCGAAUCCCGGACAAGCCC
RNAcentral lists this transfer RNA (72 nucleotides) under Gigantopelta aegis. RNAcentral's name for it is "tRNA-Pro". It matches the Rfam family "tRNA". Rfam says of the family: Transfer RNA (tRNA) molecules are approximately 80 nucleotides in length. Their secondary structure includes four short double-helical elements and three loops (D, anti-codon, and T loops). The record is from RNAcentral. Lineage: Eukaryota; Metazoa; Mollusca; Gastropoda; Neomphalida; Peltospiridae.